This 332-nucleotide ribosomal RNA is filed under the name uncultured eukaryote. RNAcentral's name for it is "partial 18S ribosomal RNA". It matches the Rfam family "Eukaryotic small subunit ribosomal RNA", at positions 592 to 976 of the family's 1831-position model. The record is from RNAcentral.
CAAUAGCGUAUAUUAAAGUUGUUGCAGUUAAAAAGCUCGUAGUUGAAUUUCGGGUCCCCGCGCUCGGCGCUUCGUUGUGCCGUCGUGGUGUCCCUCCUCGCCGUCAGGCGUCCUUUACUGUGAAAAAAUUAGAGUGUUCAAAGCAGGCAAUCGCUUGAAUACAUUAGCAUGGAAUAAUAAGAUAGGAUCUUGUCUAUUUUGUUGGUUGCGGACAAUGAUAACGAUUAAUAGGGAUAGUUGGGGGUGUCCGUAUUGAGCUGUCAGAGGUGAAAUUCUUGGAUUUGCUCAAGACGAACUACUGCGAAAGCAUUCACCAAGGAUGUUUUCAUUAA